GACGAACGCUGGCGGCGUGCCUAAUACAUGCAAGUAGAACGCUGAAGAGAGGAGCUUGCUCUUCUUGGAUGAGUUGCGGACGGGUGAGUAACGCGUAGGUAACCUGCCUCGCAGCGGGGGAUAACUACUGGAAACGAUAGCUAAUACCGCAUAACAUUGAAUGACACAUGCCUUUUAUUUGAAAGGGGCAUUUGCUCUCCUACAAGAAGGACCUGCGUGGUAUUAGCUAGUAGGUGAGGGAAUGGCCCUCCUAGGCGACGAUACAUGGCCGACCUGAGAGGGUGAUCGGCCGGCAUGGGACUGAGACAAGGCCCAGACCGCUACGGGGGGGAGCAGGAGGGAAGCUUCCGCGAAGGGGGCAACGCUGACCGAGGCACGGCGGGUGAGUGAAGAAGGGUUUCGGAUCGGAAAGCUCUGUUGUAAGACAAGAAAGGGUGUGAGAGUGGAAAGUUCACGCUUUGACGGUAGCUUACCAGAAAGCGACGGCUAACUACGUG
RNAcentral lists this ribosomal RNA (497 nucleotides) under uncultured bacterium. RNAcentral describes it as "partial 16S ribosomal RNA". It matches the Rfam family "Bacterial small subunit ribosomal RNA", at positions 28 to 507 of the family's 1533-position model. The record is from RNAcentral.